GCCAGCAUGGUAUAGUGGUUUAAGUGUUGGACUGUGACUCUGGAGACCAGGGUUUGACUCCCUAUUCAGUCA
RNAcentral lists this transfer RNA (72 nucleotides) under Phrynosoma platyrhinos (Desert horned lizard). Its description in RNAcentral is "tRNA-OTHER". Lineage: Eukaryota; Metazoa; Chordata; Lepidosauria; Squamata; Phrynosomatidae. The record is from RNAcentral.